UACCCGCUGAGUUUAAGCAUAUCAAUAAGCGGAGGAA
Molecule: ribosomal RNA, 37 nt
Filed under: Thuja plicata (western redcedar)
Lineage: Eukaryota; Viridiplantae; Streptophyta; Pinopsida; Cupressales; Cupressaceae
Also listed under: 6 other names
Description: partial 26S ribosomal RNA
Source: RNAcentral